This 297-nucleotide long non-coding RNA is filed under the name Homo sapiens (human). RNAcentral's name for it is "NETO1 divergent transcript, transcript variant 2 (NETO1-DT)". The record is from RNAcentral. Lineage: Eukaryota; Metazoa; Chordata; Mammalia; Primates; Hominidae.
GGACGGAAGGCGUGGAAGCGGGAGGGGCCUUCGUGUGAAAAUCCCUUGUGGGGUUUGGUGUUUCACUUUUUAAAGGCAUACAACUUAGGAUUCAUAACUACAUAUAUACGGAUAGAAGUGCAUGAACAGAAAAUCUGCCCUUCUGGAAUACCAAAUGCAAAAUUAAAGUGACUACAAGCAGAAUUUGGAGAAAAAAAUAAAAGAUGCAAUAUAGUUUUUAAAAUCAUUGUUAAAAUAUAAUGAGUCUGUACUUUGCUUAAACAAUAAAAAAGUCUUCGAUUUAUAAAAAAAAAAAAA